RNAcentral lists this microRNA precursor (185 nucleotides) under Oryza sativa Japonica Group (Japanese rice). RNAcentral's name for it is "MIR812 microRNA precursor family". It matches the Rfam family "MIR812 microRNA precursor family". The record is from Rfam by way of RNAcentral. Lineage: Eukaryota; Viridiplantae; Streptophyta; Magnoliopsida; Poales; Poaceae.
UUUAAGUAUAGUUGCAGGUUUCCGUGUCUAUCUUUUAAUUAUCCGUCUUAUUUGAAAUUUUCUUAUAAUUAGUAUUUUUAUUGUUAUUGAAUAGUACAUUGAUUUAUUUUUUAAAAUUUUUUAUAAGUUUUUAAAUAAUAUAUAUGCUCAAACGUUCGAUACGAAAACUCAGAACUGCACUUAUU